RNAcentral lists this unclassified non-coding RNA (640 nucleotides) under Hevea brasiliensis (rubber tree). Lineage: Eukaryota; Viridiplantae; Streptophyta; Magnoliopsida; Malpighiales; Euphorbiaceae. The record is from RNAcentral.
GGAACAUGUGAUCUUUAUCCACAAGUUAGCAUUUUUCUCGUUAUGUUUCUUGAAAAUUUUUGUUGACAUGUCUUCUUUGCACUUAGCAAUACUUCAUGGUAAUUGGGUCUACAAUUCUACAUCUUUUGAGGCCAUUAUCAAUGUUGUGCAUCUUAAUGAGUUUCAUGGAAACCUAUUGGGAUUUGGGCCUUGCUUUGGAAGAGUUAAUUUUUGCUAGGUGUAAGCCAGUUCUGCUGAUGUGGAGGUUUGGGUUUGAUACUUUUAUUUGUUUUUCCUCUCUAAAGAGGAAAAUGUCAAUGAAGGAACCAUAACUCAGUUAGAUGCAUGAUAGAUGGAACACAAAUCUACAUGUAAAUAUCCCUUGCAUACAUUUCUUGUUUCCCAUUUAUUGGUGACACGAAUCUGUGUAAGUUUUUAGUUUACCUUUUGUAUAUAGUUGGUUUAGGGGAAGCCAUAACGUGUCAUGAAUCCAUUUUACUCUUAAACAAUUUGUAAUUACUGUCUUAUUCUAGUUGAGUUGAUUUGAGGUUCAUUGUCCAUGUGUAGGAGAGUAGUAGAUUAUUGAGAACUGCAGUUAGUGUAUUAGUGGUUAUGUUUUAUUGCAUUUUCUCCCCAGAGUUUAAAGCACAAUCCCAAUGGA